Dendrobium catenatum is the source of this 1461-nucleotide long non-coding RNA. RefSeq lists it as uncharacterized. Lineage: Eukaryota; Viridiplantae; Streptophyta; Magnoliopsida; Asparagales; Orchidaceae. The transcript has 2 exons. The record is from RefSeq and is a predicted model, not a curated record.
AAGAAAGCCAUCCCAAACGAAGCCGUUUGGGACGGCUUUCCUCAUGCUUUCUAAAACAAUUUUUCAGUACAAAAAUUUUUGAAUUUAAAUUUUUUGUACUAAAAAAGUCAUUUUAAAAAGCAAUAUGAAAGUUGCCCCAAAUCAAACCUAAAUGAUUUCAAAGCUGGAAAAAAGAAAACAGAAGCAGCAAUCUCUAAGCAGUGGCCAAAGCUGAUCAGCAGCCAACCUGAAACCAUCUUUUGAAGAGGCGGGCGCGAUCCAUCCUCCUUUUCUCAUUGCGGCGGAAGGCAGCUGCCCUUUUAUCCAUGGCCUUAGUGGUAUCAGCUUCCAUGGGCUCAAAGACCUUCACAGUUAUCCGAUAAUUAAGAGUUCAAACAUCAUCAGUACAAAAAGUGUAUGAGCAUGGAACGCACCUUCUUUUUGGACAUUUGGCUCUGAUAAUUGCCUGAUCCAGCUGGGCACGGCCAGCCCAGCUCUCUUCGGCUGCUGCUGCAUUGUAUCUGCUUCUGAUUCUCGGCUGGAAAUGUAAUGGCCAUCAUGCUAUGGCCGCUGCCGCUGGAACUACCACCAUUGUCCAGUUCUUCGCUCAGCUGAGAACCAGGAACCUGGCGGAUACGGGUCUCCAGCACGUUGAGGCGAUCCAUGAGGGCCUCUUUGAGGUGAACAUCCACCAUGUCUGAUCGCAACUGAUAUCUCCUCCCUUUCUCUCCUGCGAAGCAGCUAUCCGGCAGUCUUUCCUUCUUCUCCAGCUGCCUUAGCUGCAUAUAUUGUUUCAUAAAAGAUAAAAGAGAUCAACUACUUGUAUGCAUCAAUGUAAGGGGCUGUUUGAUAUGCGGAUUUCGGCGGAUUUGAGGCGGAUUUGAGGCGAAAUCCAGCCAAACGGCCUAAAAUGCAAAACCAAAUCUCAUGGAAAAUCAAAUCCUCUGUAGACAGAAAAUUCCGCCUUUUCGUCGUAAAUCCCGGAUUUCGGAAAUCCUCGUUUGGUGGAUUUCCGAAAUCCUCUGGCUCUAUUGGUGCGGAAAGGAAGAAACUCCGCCCAAAUCUUUCACAUAGGAUUUAUCUGAAGGUUACCAAACCGUUUUCAGGAUUUAAAUCUCUCAGGAUUUCGUAAAUCAGGAUUUGGAAGAUUUACGAAAUCCUACUUAAAUGAAAUCCUAGAUUCUACCAAACUGCCCCUAAGAGGUGGAAGAACUUACACGAAGGUCGAUUUGAUUCAGCCUGUCAAGCACGGACUCAGCUGAAGGAUAAUUUUCAUGGCCUCUCAGCCUAUCACCCAUUGUAAGUUGUCUUAUAUCUCUAUUUAGCUUGGCUGUUGUGAAUAUCGAAGAAGAAAGGGAAAUGAAGGGUUUUUUCUUGUCUUUUUUUUUUUAAUCUUUGAUGGUGAUCGCUACACAGCGUGCACGGCUUCAGUGUGAGAUAGUGAACUGGUUCUCAUCGUGAAUAGAGAUUUAUUUAUGGAUA